This 278-nucleotide ribosomal RNA is filed under the name uncultured eukaryote. RNAcentral describes it as "partial small subunit ribosomal RNA". It matches the Rfam family "Eukaryotic small subunit ribosomal RNA", at positions 187 to 469 of the family's 1831-position model. The record is from RNAcentral.
GACUUUUUGGAGGGCCGUAUUUAUUAGAUAUCAACCAAUAAGACUUGUUCUAUUGUGGUGAAUCAUAGUAACUGAUCGGAUCGCAGGCAAGCCCUGCGACAAACCAUUCAAGUUUCUGCCCCAUCAGCUUACGAUGGUAGUGUAUUGGACUACCAUGGCUUUUACGGGUAACGGAGGAUUAGGGUUCGAUUCCGGAGAGGGAGCCUGAGAAACGGCUACCACAUCUAAGGAAGGCAGCAGGCGCGUAAAUUACCCAAUCCUGACUCAGGGAGGUAGUG